This 496-nucleotide ribosomal RNA is filed under the name uncultured bacterium. RNAcentral describes it as "bacterial SSU rRNA". It matches the Rfam family "Bacterial small subunit ribosomal RNA", at positions 28 to 511 of the family's 1533-position model. The record is from RNAcentral.
GAUGAACGCUAGCUACAGGCUUAACACAUGCAAGUCGAGGGGCAGCGGGAUUGAAGCUUGCUUCAAUUGCCGGCGACCGGCGCACGGGUGAGUAACGCGUAUCCAACCUUCCGUACACUCAGGGAUAGCCUUUCGAAAGAAAGAUUAAUACCUGAUGGUAUCUUAAGCACACAUGUAAUUAAGAUUAAAGAUUUAUCGGUGUACGAUGGGGAUGCGUUCCAUUAGGUAGUAGGCGGGGUAACGGCCCACCUAGCCAACGAUGGAUAGGGGUUCUGAGAGGAAGGUCCCCCACAUUGGAACUGAGACACGGUCCAAACUCCUACGGGGAGGCAGCAGUUGAGGAAUAUUGGUCAAUGGACGAGAGUCUGAACCAGCCAAGUAGCGUGAAGGAUGAAGGUCCUACGGAUUGUAAACUUCUUUUAUAAGGGAAUAAACCCUCCACGUGUGGGAGCUUGUAUGUACCUUAUGAAUAAGCAUCGGCUAAACUCCGUGCCAG